RNAcentral lists this ribosomal RNA (497 nucleotides) under uncultured bacterium. RNAcentral's name for it is "partial 16S ribosomal RNA". It matches the Rfam family "Bacterial small subunit ribosomal RNA", at positions 28 to 507 of the family's 1533-position model. The record is from RNAcentral.
GACGAACGCUGGCGGCGUGCCUAAUACAUGCAAGUUGAGCGCUGAAGGUUGGUACUUGUCCCGACUGGAUGAGCAGCGAACGGGUGAGUAACGCGUGGGGAAUCUGCCUUUGAGCGGGGGACAACAUUUGGAAACGAAUGCUAAUACCGCAUAAAAACUUUAAACACAAGUUUUAAGUUUGAAAGAUGCAAUUGCAUCACUCAAAGAUGAUCCCGCGUUGUAUUAGCUAGUUGGUGAGGUAAAGGCUCACCAAGGCGAUGAUACAUAGCCGACCUGAGAGGGUGAUCGGCCACAUUGGGACUGAGACACGGCCCAAACGCCUACGGGAGGCAGCAGUAGGGAAUCUUCGGCAAUGGACGAAAGUCUGACCGAGCAACGCCGCGUGAGUGAAGAAGGUUGUCGGAUCGUAAAACUCUGUUGGUAGAGAAGAACGUUGGUGAGAGUGGAAAGCUCAUCAAGUGACGGUAACUACCCAGAAAGGGACGGCUAACUACGUG